UCGGGAUACCGGACAGUCGCGCUUUCCCGCAAGGGAAGGUGAGGAAAUUCGGAACACCCACUGUUCAUUGAGCAGUCAAAAAGGUACGGGCUAACGGCCCGCCGCGGUAACGCGAGAGAUGCGAAAAGAGACGCCAAUGCCGAAAGGCUAGGGUCCCCGCGAGGGGGUAGUCCUGCGGCAACGCAGGGGUGCAACGGCAAAACUCUUACCGGGUGCAAGGUCGUGCCUCGUCGCAAGACGGGGAGUGCCGCAAGAGCCGCGCGGUAACGCGCGGCCCAGAGAAAUGGCUGUCGGCCGGCUUAGGCCGGCGCACAGAAUUCCGGUUAUAGAUAUCCUGGCGCA
This 342-nucleotide RNase P RNA is filed under the name Candidatus Liptonbacteria bacterium RIFCSPHIGHO2_01_FULL_57_28. Its description in RNAcentral is "RNase P RNA component class A". It matches the Rfam family "Bacterial RNase P class A". From Rfam's summary of the family: Ribonuclease P (RNase P) is a ubiquitous endoribonuclease, found in archaea, bacteria and eukarya as well as chloroplasts and mitochondria. Its best characterised activity is the generation of mature 5'-ends of tRNAs by cleaving the 5'-leader elements of precursor-tRNAs. Lineage: Bacteria; Candidatus Liptoniibacteriota. The record is from RNAcentral.